ACUCCUACGGGAGGCAGCAGUGGGGAAUCUUAGACAAUGGGGAAACCCGUAGCAUCUAGCCAUGCCGCGUGAGUGAUGAAGGCCUUAGGGUCGUAAAGCUCUUUCGCCAGGGAUGAUAAUGACAGUACCUGGUAAAGAAACCCGCCGUACACUCCGUGCAGCAGCCGCGGUAAUACGGAGGGGUUAGCGUUGUUCGGAAUUACUGGGCGUAAAGCGCAUGCAGGUGGUUUGUUAAGUCAGAUGUGAAAGCCCGGGCGUCAACCACUCGGAAUUGCAUUUGAAACUGGCAGACUAGAGUACUGUAGAGGGGNGGUAGAAUUUCAGGUGUAGCGGUGAAAUGCGUAGAGAUCUGAAGGAAUACCGGUGGCGAA
Molecule: ribosomal RNA, 371 nt
Filed under: uncultured bacterium
Lineage: Bacteria
Description: bacterial SSU rRNA
Rfam family: Bacterial small subunit ribosomal RNA
Source: RNAcentral